This 1378-nucleotide ribosomal RNA is filed under the name uncultured bacterium. RNAcentral's name for it is "16S ribosomal RNA". It matches the Rfam family "Bacterial small subunit ribosomal RNA", at positions 30 to 1399 of the family's 1533-position model. The record is from RNAcentral.
UGAACGCUGGCGGUAUGCUUAACACAUGCAAGUCGAACGGAAACGAUACUAGCUUGCUAGUAGGCGUCGAGUGGCGGACGGGUGAGUAACGCGUAGGAAUCUGCCUGAUAGUGGGGGAUAGCCCGAAGAAAUUCGGAUUAAUACCGCAUAAUCUAUUCGUAGUAAAGUGGGGGACUUUCGAGCCUCACGCUAUCAGAUGAGCCUGCGUAAGAUUAGCUUGUUGGUAGGGUAAAAGCCUACCAAGGCGACGAUCUUUAGCUGGUCUGAGAGGAUGAUCAGCCACAUCGGGACUGAGACACGGCCCGAACUCCUACGGGAGGCAGCAGUGGGGAAUAUUGGACAAUGGGGGCAACCCUGAUCCAGCAAUACCGCGUGUGUGAAGAAGGCCUGAGGGUUGUAAAGCACUUUCAAUUGUGAAGAAAAGUUAGCGGUUAAUAACCGUUAGCCUUGACGUUAACUUUAGAAGAAGCACCGGCUAACUCCGUGCCAGCAGCCGCGGUAAUACGGAGGGUGCAAGCGUUAAUCGGAAUUACUGGGCGUAAAGCGUGCGUAGGCGGUUUAUUAAGUCAGAUGUGAAAGCCCCGGGCUUAACCUGGGAACUGCAUUUGAAACUGGUCAACUAGAGUAUGGUAGAGGAAAGUGGAAUUUCUGGUGUAGCGGUGAAAUGCGUAGAUAUCAGAAGGAACAUCAAUGGCGAAGGCAGCUUUCUGGACCAAUACUGACGCUGAGGUACGAAAGCGUGGGUAGCAAACAGGAUUAGAUACCCUGGUAGUCCACGCCGUAAACGAUGAUAACUAGCCGUUGGGGGGAUUUACCCUUUAGUGGCGAAGCUAACGCGUUAAGUUAUCCGCCUGGGGAGUACGGCCGCAAGGUUAAAACUCAAAGGAAUUGACGGGGACCCGCACAAGCGGUGGAGCAUGUGGUUUAAUUCGAUGCAACGCGAAGAACCUUACCUGGUCUUGACAUCCUGCGAACUUUCUAGAAAUAGAUUGGUGCCUUCGGGAACGCAGUGACAGGUGCUGCAUGGCUGUCGUCAGCUCGUGUCGUGAGAUGUUGGGUUAAGUCCCGUAACGAGCGCAACCCCUAUCCUUAUUUGCCAGCACAUCAUGGUGGGAACUAUAAGGAGACUGCCGGUGAUAAACCGGAGGAAGGCGGGGACGACGUCAAGUCGUCAUGGCCCUUACGACCAGGGCUACACACGUGCUACAAUGGGAAGGACAAAGAGCCGCGAAGCCGCGAGGUGUAGCUAAUCUCAUAAACCUUUUCGUAGUCCGGAUUGGAGUCUGCAACUCGACUCCAUGAAGUCGGAAUCGCUAGUAAUCGUAGAUCAGAAUGCUACGGUGAAUACGUUCCCGGGUCUUGUACACACUGCCCGUCA